RNAcentral lists this ribosomal RNA (301 nucleotides) under uncultured bacterium. RNAcentral's name for it is "partial 16S ribosomal RNA". It matches the Rfam family "Bacterial small subunit ribosomal RNA", at positions 509 to 808 of the family's 1533-position model. The record is from RNAcentral.
CAGCAGCCGCGGUAAUACGUAGGUGGUAAGCGUUGUCCGGAAUUAUUGGGCGUAAAGCGUGCGCAGGCGGUUGUGUAAGACAGGUGUGAAAUCCCCGGGCUUAACCUGGGAACUGCGCUUGUGACUGCACAGCUAGAGUAUGGCAGAGGGGGGUGGAAUUCCACGUGUAGCAGUGAAAUGCGUAGAGAUGAGGAGGAACACCGAUGGCGAAGGCAGCCCCCUGGGCCAAUACUGACGCUCAUGCACGAAAGCGUGGGGAGCAAACAGGAUUAGAUACCGAGUAGUCCCUGUCUCUUAUACA